This 498-nucleotide ribosomal RNA is filed under the name uncultured bacterium. RNAcentral describes it as "partial 16S ribosomal RNA". It matches the Rfam family "Bacterial small subunit ribosomal RNA", at positions 29 to 523 of the family's 1533-position model. The record is from RNAcentral.
AUUGAACGCUGGCGGCAUGCCUAACACAUGCAAGUCGCACGCGAAAGAGGGGCAACCCUUGAGUAGAGUGGCGGACGGGUGAGUAACGCGUAGGAAUAUACCUGGUAGUGGGGGACAACCCGGUGAAAACCGGGCUAAUACCGCAUACGAUCCACGGAUGAAAGCAGGGGACCGCAAGGCCUUGCGCUAUCAGAUUAGCCUGCGUCGGAUUAGCUAGUUGGUGAGGUAAUGGCUCACCAAGGCAACGAUCCGUAGCUGGUCUGAGAGAACGACCGACCACACUGGGACUGAGACACGGCCCAGAGUCCUACGGGAGGCAGCAGUGGGGAAUAUUGGAAAAUGGGGGCAACCCUGAUCCAGCAAUGCCGCGUGUGUGAAGAAGGCCUUCGGGUUGUAAAGCACUUUCGGUGGGGACAAACGUGGCGAGGCUAACAUCCUCGUCCUUGAUGGUACCCAAAGAAGAAGCACCGGCUAACUCUGUGCCAGCCGCCGCCGUAA